This 742-nucleotide ribosomal RNA is filed under the name uncultured bacterium. Its description in RNAcentral is "bacterial SSU rRNA". It matches the Rfam family "Bacterial small subunit ribosomal RNA", at positions 8 to 796 of the family's 1533-position model. The record is from RNAcentral.
AGAGUUUGAUCCUGGCUCAGAGCGAACGCUGGCGGCAGGCUUAACACAUGCAAGUCGAACGGGCACUUCGGUGUCAGUGGCAGACGGGUGAGUAACGCGUGGGAACAUACCUCUUGGUUCGGAACAACACAGGGAAACUUGUGCUAAUACCGGAUAAGCCCUUACGGGGAAAGAUUUAUCGCCGAGAGAUUGGCCCGCGUCUGAUUAGCUAGUUGGUGUGGUAAAGGCGCACCAAGGCGACGAUCAGUAGCUGGUCUGAGAGGAUGAUCAGCCACAUUGGGACUGAGACACGGCCCAAACUCCUACGGGAGGCAGCAGUGGGGAAUAUUGGACAAUGGGCGCAAGCCUGAUCCAGCCAUGCCGCGUGAGUGAUGAAGGCCUUAGGGUUGUAAAGCUCUUUUGUACGGGAAGAUAAUGACGGUACCGUAAGAAUAAGCCCCGGCUAACUUCGUGCCAGCAGCCGCGGUAAUACGAAGGGGGCUAGCGUUGCUCGGAAUCACUGGGCGUAAAGGGUGCGUAGGCGGGUUUUUAAGUCAGAGGUGAAAUCCUGGAGCUCAACUCCAGAACUGCCUUUGAUACUGAAAGUCUUGAGUAUGGGAGAGGUGAGUGGAACUGCGAGUGUAGAGGUGAAAUUCGUAGAUAUUCGCAAGAACACCAGUGGCGAAGGCGGCUCACUGGCCCAUUACUGACGCUGAGGCACGAAAGCGUGGGGAGCAAACAGGAUUAGAUACCCUGGUAGUCC